Molecule: long non-coding RNA, 1279 nt
Filed under: Cyclopterus lumpus (lumpfish)
Lineage: Eukaryota; Metazoa; Chordata; Actinopteri; Perciformes; Cyclopteridae
Description: lncRNA (ENSCLMG00005010249.1)
Source: RNAcentral
GUUGACGAACGAGAACGUGUUGACGUACGAGUACGAGGAGAACGUGUUGACGAACGAGGAGAACGUGUUGACGUACGAGUACGAGGAGAACGUGUUGACGUACGAGGAGAACGUGUUGACGAACGAGAACGUGUUGACGUACGAGGAGAACGUGUUGACGUACGAGGAGAACGUGUUGACGUACGAGAACGUGUUGACGUACGAGGAGAACGUGUACGAGGAGAACGCGUUGACAUACGAGGAGAACGCGUUGACGUGCAUCGUGGUUAUGAAAUGACCUGCGUGGGCGGGUUAAAGGAGGAAGUCGUGACUGAAGUGUUGUUGUUGUUGUUUACCUCACGACGCCGUAGAGACGCUAGUCGACUGGUUGUUGCCGUUUCGUCCGCUUACAUUUUUGUUAACGUUACUGUUCUUUCAUAUGAAUCUGAUCUUGUACAUUUUUCAUAAUAAAAUGGGUUUCAAGCCUCACGUCUCGCUGACUUUUGCUGCGCACCAUCUUGGAACGGACACUUACGUUAGCCGAUGUUAGCAUGCUAACAUGCUAACAAUGAUGUUGAUGUUUAUUACUUCAUAUAUUUAUGUAACAACACACUGACUGUUAAUAGUAAAAGUAAUGUUAAAUUAAGUUUAGGAGGUACUUAUUGUUGUGUUUAUUGUAUUUUCACCAUCGUUAGCGUAAUCGCGUGCUAACAUUUGCUACGAUGCUUUGAGCAUUAAGUGCCAUCCUUAAUAUUAAUAUUUAUUAAUGUAUCAUAGUACUUAAAAAGGUUAAGCAGGUAUAAUGUUCACCAUCUUGAUUUUAUGCUUUAUUGUUUAUUUUUAACUGAUUCAUGUUAAAACCAACCAAAACAACCAGAAGACGUCUUCAAAGACUUGUUUGUUUGUUUGUUUGUUUGUUUGUUUGUAACCACAGGCGGUGAAGGCAUCAAUAAUCCUGGCGGCAGAUUAGAGAAACAGUUUCAGUCCCAAACGUGUGGAAGGAACCCGGUUCUCUCAGGAGGAACCUGGUUCUCUCAGGAUGAACCCGGUUCUCUCAAAAAUGAACCCGGUUCUCUCAGGAGGAACCCGGUUCUCUCAAAAAUAAACCCAGUUCUCUCAGGAUGAACCCGGUUCUCUCAGGAGGAACCUGGUUCUCUCAGGAGGAACCCGGUUCUCUCAAAAAUGAACCCGGUUCUCUCAGGAGGAACCCGGUUCUCUCAAAAAUAAACCUGGUUCUCUCAGGAUGAACCCGGUUCUCUCAGGAGGAACCCGGUUCUCUCAGGAUGUUCUUCAGAGCAAG